AGUGGCGGACGGGUGAGUAACGCGUGAGAAUCUGCCUUGGGGUCGGGGACAACCACUGGAAACGGUGGCUAAUACCGGAUAAGCCGAUUGGUGAAAGAUUUAUUGCCCGAAGAGGAGCUCGCGUCUGAUUAGCUAGUUGGUGAGGUAAGAGCUCACCAAGGCAGCGAUCAGUAGCUGGUCUGAGAGGACGAUCAGCCACACUGGGACUGAGACACGGCCCAGACUCCUACGGGAGGCAGCAGUGGGGAAUUUUCCGCAAUGGGCGAAAGCCUGACGGAGCAAGACCGCGUGAGGGAGGAAGGCUCUUGGGUUGUAAACCUCUUUUCUCAGGGAAGAAGCUCUGACGGUACCUGAGGAAUCAGCCUCGGCUAACUCCGUGCCAGCAUCCGCGGUAAUACGGAGGAGGCAAGCGUUAUCCGGAAUUAUUGGGCGUAAAGCGUCCGCAGGUGGCGAUUCAAGUCUGCUGUCAAAGCACGGGGCUUAACUCCGUAAAGGCAGUGGAAACUGAAUAGCUAGAGUGCCGUAGGGGUAGAGGGAAUUCCCGGUGUAGCGGUGAAAUGCGUAGAGAUCGGGAAGAACAUCGGUGGCGAAAGCGCUCUACUGGACGGCAACUGACACUCAGGGACGAAAGCUAGGGGAGCGAAUGGGAUUAGAUACCCC
This 660-nucleotide ribosomal RNA is filed under the name uncultured bacterium. Its description in RNAcentral is "bacterial SSU rRNA". It matches the Rfam family "Bacterial small subunit ribosomal RNA", at positions 94 to 788 of the family's 1533-position model. The record is from RNAcentral.